This 450-nucleotide ribosomal RNA is filed under the name uncultured bacterium. Its description in RNAcentral is "bacterial SSU rRNA". It matches the Rfam family "Bacterial small subunit ribosomal RNA", at positions 354 to 796 of the family's 1533-position model. The record is from RNAcentral.
GUGGGGAAUUUUGGACAAUGGGCGAAAGCCUGAUCCAGCCAUGCCGCGUGCAGGAUGAAGGCCUUCGGGUUGUAAACUGCUUUUGUACGGAACGAAAAGACUCCUUCUAAUAAAGGGGGUCCAUGACGGUACCGUAAGAAUAAGCACCGGCUAACUACGUGCCAGCAGCCGCGGUAAUACGUAGGGUGCAAGCGUUAAUCGGAAUUACUGGGCGUAAAGCGUGCGCAGGCGGUUAUAUAAGACAGAUGUGAAAUCCCCGGGCUCAACCUGGGAAUUGCGCUUGUGACUGCAGUGCUGGAGUACGGCAGAGGGGGAUGGAAUUCCGCGUGUAGCAGUGAAAUGCGUAGAUAUGCGGAGGAACUCCGAUGGCGAAGGCAGUCCCCUGGGCCUGUACUGACGCUCAUGCACGAAAGCGUGGGGAGCAAACAGGAUUAGAAACCCGUGUAGUCC